This 112-nucleotide non-coding RNA is filed under the name bovine gut metagenome. RNAcentral describes it as "FMN riboswitch (RFN element)". It matches the Rfam family "FMN riboswitch aptamer (RFN element)". From Rfam's summary of the family: The RFN element is a highly conserved domain that is found frequently in the 5'-untranslated regions of prokaryotic mRNAs that encode for flavin mononucleotide (FMN) biosynthesis and transport proteins. This element is a metabolite-dependent riboswitch that directly binds FMN in the absence of proteins. The record is from RNAcentral.
UUCUUUGGGGCGGGGCGUAAAUCCCCACCGGCAGUAAAAGUCUGCGAACCUUAUUUUAAGGCCGACAAGGUGAAAUUCCUUGACCGACGGUAUAGUCCGGAUGAGAAAAGAG